Molecule: long non-coding RNA, 5216 nt
Organism: Tachysurus fulvidraco (yellow catfish)
Lineage: Eukaryota; Metazoa; Chordata; Actinopteri; Siluriformes; Bagridae
Exons: 4
Source: RefSeq, a predicted model, not a curated record
UCAGAUUCUUAUACUCUUGAAUGCUAUAGUGUUUUUUGGUAACUAUGUGGUAAUUAUGAUAACUCUGGUUGUUACACUCUUGACAGUUUCUUUGGAAUUAUGAUGACAGUAUGGUUAACCUUGGUUGUUAUACUAUUGUCCAUUUUCUUAUUAAAUUUUGAGCAUGAUUUCGAAAUCACAGUUUCCUUUCUUUUUCCCUGUUUUGGGCAGGAAGCAGAUGAUGGAUAAUGUUCUGCUGUGGUGAAAGGGAAUUGUUCUGAAUCUUUCACUUGUAUUAUUAAUCACCACUUUAACAGCAGGUACAUUAGCAACUAUGGUUAUAAAUGCUUGCAUAAUAAAAUGAGGGUUGACAAAAUCUUGUAGUGUUUACUACUUAAUAAACAAAUGUAUUGUUGUUUAUGUACAGUAAGAUAUCUGUCCAUGUAUCCUGUGUUCUAGGUUGAAAUUUUUGUGCAAACUCACUGGUCAAAGAAGGAUUUUGAUUUCUUUUUCUAGCAGUUUUGUUACCAUGGAUUCAUCACAAGAUCAUAAUUUGGAAAUGUACACUACAGAUUCGUCCAUCACAGCUAAGGAGGAUGCACAGACUUGCUUUUAUGUUUUAUGUUUUAUGCACAAGGCAGCAUGAAAUAACUGCAUUUCUGCACUUUGAAUUGCAUUCUCUUCUAAGAUUACACACAGUUUUCUUUCUUCCUCACAGAUCACCCAGCAUCACUCCCUGUCUCUGUUCUGACUUCAUUAUUAGCUUUUCAGUGAAGUGUGGCUGUAGAGCACUGUGGUACGGUUCAUGGAUAUUUAGAAUUUCUCUCAUUAAACAGCUUUAAUGAGCGAAAUAUUUAGUACAGAAACCAAUAGGUCAAAUAAGGCUAGUCAACUAGUGUUGAUUUUGGAAUUGGCGCUUUUUAAACGAAUGGGUGCAUCUUUCAUCCAUCUGCAGUGAAAGAUAUUGAGAUAAUUGGUAUAAUUAAAGCUAAGCAAACAUUUCAUCCUUUGCAUCUUUGUAUUCAGUUAAAAAAAUUCUUUAGUAUGUCGUUAACCAAGCAGAAUGUUCUAGAAAAGGUUCAGUGCCACUGUCCAGCAUUGCUAGAAGUGGCGAUCCAGUUGGCUUAGGUCCAGUUGGCAGAGGACUAUUUGGCAUGCAAGCCCCCUCUCUCUCUCUCUGUCUCUCUCUCUCUUAGCUUCUCCUUCCCUUGCCUCCUUGGAAACAGUGGGCCAUCCCCCUAAGUCUGGUUUCCCAAAAACAGACAUCCCCUCCUUCUUCCCCCAUGUUUGUUUCCUCUUCCCCACAGGCGCACACACAGGUGUAGAAGUAAUUCUAUUAGCAUUUUAAGGCACUUCCAGGACCAGCGCAACGUGAUGGAGGUGUGGCAUAUUGACUGAUCAAGCCUUAUAUUCCAAUGAGGUAACCCAGGGAUCUUCAUAUGAAUAGUUCAGGAGGAAUCUCAGAGAGAAAUGGCAUGAAAUAUUCGUUUGCAUGAAGGAUACAUUGUGGGCCCCAAUGGCACUAGGAGAAAAAAUGAAAAGAAGAAGAAGAAGAAAGGAUAGAGCAGAGAGGACUGACCCAGAGGACAAGAUAUAUUCAAAAUACACUCACCUCUUAAUCUCAUUUAUUUCUCCUAGACAUGGUGCUGAGAUUUGUGUCCUCUGAGACCUGUGUCACUCUCUGAUUAAACAGCAGUACUGCUGGUUUCUUCUCUUGUGUACCUGAGACACCUGGGAUACACGUUAAACUCUAACCUGGACUAAAUCGAUGAAAAAAAACAACAGAAAUAAAGGACGAAAUAAAAAAGAAAGAAAUUAAAAACUAUAAAGACCCAUUGAGAUGAAAGAAAGAAAGAAAGUGUCAGGAAUAGUUCUUUGCCAGACCACUAGGUGGGCUAGGCAAAUGGUUUAUUCAUGUAUACAUUGUUGUUUUCUUGUGGGUGGUGUCAUGCCCUUUCUUAAUGUGUCUUCCCGCUUUGUUACCUGUUUCUUGUUACCCUUAAAGCACUGCUCUAUAUAUGUUUGUCCUAUUCUCUUGAUUAUUGAGUCAUUAUUUGCGAUAUCACAUUGUGUGUGAGUCGUAUGCCUGGGUGCAGCGUUACUCAGGUAAUUAUGUUUCCAUAUCAUAGUUAUGAUUUGUCCUUGUUACAUUUCAAGUAAUAUUUCAAGUUUUGGUAGUUUUUGUGUGUUAAAUAAAAACAGUGCACACACUGUAUCCUGCAAGUGGGUCUGAACUGCAGAAACCAAGAGAUCGACACAACAGUGCAGACUCGGGCUUGGUCCCUGCCAUCAACAGUGUUCGUCCCCACAUGUUAGAUAAAGAAAGAAAGUUUGGAGAAAGAAAGAAAACACAGACAUUACAAGGCUAUAUGAAGGACCAAAAAAAAAAAAUAUGAACAAUGGACAAUUAAAUUAAACUAGGAAACAGAAAAAAAGGAAUGUAAAGGCAAAACGUUAAGGGAAAAUGGAAAACUGAAAUAAAUAUGGAUCUAAAGCACACCAUCUCUUGAUCUUAUUUGGUACAAAGUGUGUGAUUAGCAAUUAGCUUAUAUUCAUUUUUUCUAUUCAUUAUAAGGUGUUAGAUAAUUAUGUGUAUAAUUGGAGUGUAAUUAUAUGUGCGAGUUUAAUUGGCUCUGGUGCUGAUGGAGGUCAUGCUGCUGUUUUACUCCCCACAUGAUGAGCAGGUUUGUGAGGCUCCGCAUUCUCUGUUAUUAAAUAACUCACUGUUAACAGCUUUUCUUCUACCUGUAAAAAGGAAUGCUUAAAUAAUCGCUGGGCUGAUGCAUAUUCAUUCCCAGCAUCAAGUGAGUUUCGGCAUCCAUCAUCAUAACCUUUGAUACAGAAGCGAUUCAUCACCCAACGCAUAAAAUCCAAUAUGUAGAUCUCAGUUCUCCAGCACGAGAUCGAUUAUGAGGUGAAAUAUGACAUUUAGAGUAUUAAUAUAAAUAAUUGUGUAUUGCUUUUUCGGCUUUGUGGCACUUGAACAGUUUUUAAAUGUUUCUUUGUGUACCGAAAUGGAACAGUUGGAGUUUAAAGGCCAGGAGGUGUGGCCUGAGGUGGAGCAAGAGUUGGAACCAAUCAGAGGCUGUGGCCUAUAAAUAGCACUAGUUUAUGUUACCUCAGGUGCUUGAGUAAAUAUAACAGCUUGUUAGCUAAUAGCAAAUAAAGCUAAGUUCUAACUCGACAAGUACUGGAAAAUCUUAACUGAACAGAACUAGCUAUCUAGUAACUUCAGAAAAACACACAAUAAUAGAGAAAGCUUGUGUUCAUAAAGGUGCUGCAGAAUGGUAGCUAAACAAAAAUAGCUAGCUAAUAGUGCUAAAAGUGUAAAAUUUAUAGCUAAACAUGUGUAAUAUAUAGCUUAUUUUACCACAAUUACUGGAGUAAACAUGACAACUAGCAAACUAAUAGCUCCAGAAAAAAAAAAAUAGGUAGGGUAUAGAGCCUGUUCAUAUUACUAAAUGUGCUGAAAGAAACAUAACAACUAGCAAGGUAAUAUCUCCAGAAUAGUGGGCAAUAAAUAAAGCUAACGUGUUACCACAGGUGCUGUGGAAUAUAAAACAGAAAUAGCUAACUAAGAUCUCCUAAACAGUAGGUAAUAAAUAUAAAACUGUCUUUACACAGGUGCUGGAGUAAACAUGAUAGCUACCAAGCUAAUAGCUAAUAUUAAAUAGCUUUAAAUAGUUUACUCCAGUGUGCUGGACAAAAUAUAAUACUCAAAGUGAAUAGUACCAGAAAAUUGGGCACUAUUUAGAAUUAACUUUACCACAGGUGAUAAAUAAAUAUAAUAGCUAGCAAGCUAAUUGCUUCAGUAAAGCAGGUACUAAAUAUAGCAAUGAUUGUGUUAACACAGAUGCUUGAGAAUAUUAGUUAAAUAGAAAUAGCUAACUAAAGGUUCCAGACAAGUGAGUACAAAAUAGAACUAGCUUUUGUUACCUCAGGUGGUUGAGUAAACAUAAUAGUUGGCAAGAUAAUAACUACAGAAAAAAACAUGUAGUAAAUAGAGGUAGCUUAUGUGCUGAAGAAUGUUAGCAAAACAGAAAUAGCUAACCAAUAGCUCCAAAAUAGGACUAACUGAUGUUUCCACUUGAAUGCCCCAUGUCAUUGGUUUGGUUGAGGAGGAAUGCUGUGCUGUGACCAUCUCCUUUUUAUCCACCACCUCUAGAUCUUCUCAUUCCAAUAAUUUAGGCCAACACAGAAGACCGAAUCUGGUUGAAACCAUGAAAAAAGCACUGUGAGCUCCAUCUGCAGUUCUCUCAGAUGGAGAUCAUCCUGUCUGCCAUCACACAGCAAAUUCUGGAAAAGUGAAUGAAUGAAGAGUGUGAUUUGUUUUGAAGAGUAAUCAUCUUCAUGUAAGAUUUGUCUAUUCUGGUCUAUUUUUGUGUGAUGCAGUUCAUUUCACCUCUAAGGCAAAUUAGAUUUUUUUAUUUGAUAUUAUUUGCAAAUAAUAUUUUUUACCUGACUGCCUGAAAGCCUUAAUUAACCCUUGAUGGCUGAUCGAAAUAUAUUAAAGCAGCAGUCCAGCUUUUUAAACCUUACAUGCUUUUUGAUGUAUUUAACUUCGAUCAUAUAAUGAUAAUGAUGGUCAGCGAUCAACAAUGUUUUAUCUCCAAACUUUCUCAAAACGACCAUCGUGAUCAUAUUUCAGCAUCACUGUGGUCAUCCAUAUAGUCUCUCUUUUAAUCAGACUGCAAUCUGUAACCAUCAAAACACAGCUGACUUCAAAUAAAUAGCCGAUAAAAAAGUGUUAUGGUUGAUCAGAAAUCUUCCACAGUCUACUGCACUGUCACCUACCUUUCCAAUGUGCUCCAUCAACACAUGCAGGAAACCCCACUGGGCCACUUUCAAGCUCAAAAAACAAUAAAGGUAGCGUGAAAUUAAUUCAUAUGGCUCAAUUGGUAUUUUCCAAGUCUUCUGAAGUGACACAAUUAAUUUGAUUGAUGAACAGAUUAAAAUUAAGCCUUGAUUCACUCUCAAUUUAAUCCAAUCAACACAUGGAUUAGCACAGACAUCUAAUAUUGCAACUCAAACCUCAAAUAAUGUCAAAUCUACAGUGGAAAGAGUCUUACAAGAUUGGAAGUGAUGUCAUCAGGGCAAGUAAAUGAUGAACUGAUUCUUUAAGAGUAGAUUGAUGUGCUGAUCUCUAGAGGAAAUGGGUUUUUAUUCUUUUUAAAUGCUAUAUGUUUCAAUGAACAUGCCAAAUGAUUAAUAUGGCUGUCUUGCUCCUUCCCAGUCUG